Hirundo rustica (Barn swallow) is the source of this 2137-nucleotide long non-coding RNA. RefSeq lists it as uncharacterized. NCBI's taxonomy places the organism in Eukaryota, Metazoa, Chordata, Aves, Passeriformes, Hirundinidae. The record is from RefSeq and is a predicted model, not a curated record. The transcript is spliced from 6 exons.
ACUCAAACUUGCUCUUUACAUUGGGAAACUGACUCCAGUACACAAAUGGAUUGUCCGACCACAGGGAAAAAAUCCACAAAGGCAGACACGUCGGGUCAUCCUCCUGGGCUGAGGAGUUUCUGGCUCUCCUGGCAGGGAUCUGGGAUGUCCCUUAUAUGGCCAAGAGGUUUUUCUUCCUUCUCUUCCUGAGCUGACCAUGAAGAAUGUUUUUAAGGGCUGCUCGGCGCCUUAGAAGAAUUGCCACUUUUGCAGUCAAAUCCAAGUAACAUCUGCUCCAUGCAACCAGUCAAUAUUGUGGAAAAGUUCAAAGAAUGAAGAUCAUUAGUAGUGUCAGCUUUACAACCAGAAGUUUACAGGCAAUGCAGUGUUUGUGACAGAGCUCUUCUGAAGUAGACAUUUAAUUGCAACACUUCUGAAAUGAGCAGAGAGAGAGUCAGCUCCAUAGAUGCAUCCCGUGAAUAAAGUGUGUGAUCAACAACAGCAAUCAUCAUCAUCCACUCCAAAGACAUCGUGAAUUCUUAACUAAAACAUGUUGAAUUGAAGAGGUGCCAAACUCCCUACACUUUGGAGCGCUAAACCACCUUUGUUUUGCCCAAGACAACAGCCCAGCUUGGAAGGGACCUUAAAAGAUGCUGUGUUCCAACUGAAGGAGAGGGAACCUAGUGGGACCCAGUCUUUCACCAAUGUUUCUGCAGUCUAAUCAGCUGUAACCCAGGAGGUUACGAUGCAUCGCUGAGAAAUAAGCAACACCAGAUGCUUUAGGGGUCCAAAAUUGGAAAAAUCAGACCAGUGAUCAACCUCGUAACCUGUAGAUAAGUGAGGCUGGCUCAUCUGCUCGUUCAUCACCUGUGUUAAGGUUGCCUCGUUCUCCUGGUCUGUACCCUGAGGUGUUCUGCGGACGUUGUCCUGUCCACCUUUUCCUUGGGAUAACCUGCUGCUGCGUGUAACCGAUUUGCCUGUGACAUAUGAGAUCCUACAGGAGCUAAAAAGCGCCGGGUAAUGGAUGAGGAAAAGCCAGAAGUAAUGGAAUAGUUGAAAUGGAGCAUGCAUUUCCACUUUAUUCAGCAUUCUCCCACCCUGCUCUUUGCCUGCCUCUAAAAUAACCUGGAGGAUAUGAUCAGGAGAAGGUGAAUUGUGUUGAUUAGGCCCAGUGGAGUCUUGCCAAUGGAAUGUUGUUGUGCUAUUUACAGAUAACAAAAGGAUCACCUCUAUUUAUCCUUAUGCUUUGUCAUAAGGAUCAGUAUGUUGUUGCUUUGGAUACUGAGAAGGUGAGGAAAGUUUAGCAAGUCUGGACCUAUUCAAAAUCUCAGAAGCCAGAAUCCAUGAAUGUUCACGAUGAACAUAAAUCCUCAGAAAGAUUAAGAAAUUGUUUAGAACAAUGGAAUUUUUUUUCUUUAAAUAUUUCAGUUUUUAGCAGGACCUCCCAAUGCUGAUAGCUCUAUUUUAGUUGAGAGCUGAGAAAGUGAAGGAUAUUAAAUUUAUGAAAUGCAUCAUACCUAAGUCAAAAGAUAUAGUAGGAAAAAAAAGCCUACUUGCACUUGGACAGACCAUAUCAGAAAUAGUGUUAAAACAUUAAAGAAAAAUGUGAUUGGUCACCAGCACUAGCAGUAUGUAGGUGUAGAAGAAAGGAUUACAGGUGGCCUUGCCCCUGACAAGUCGCAGCUGUACUAAUUACCAAAGGGGAGGAACAGCCUUGCCAUUAAUGGGUUGCAGCUGUGACAAAUAAAGAUAAGUGUCGUAAAAGGAGGUGGUUAGAGGGAGGAUUUUGAAGAAGGAGAUACUGGGAGGAAGAUGAUAUUGAAGGAAUGCUCCAGAAGAACCAGAGGAGCGGGUGAAACCGGAGAGAGCAUCCCUGCUGUGAGGUCAGUGUGGGUGUGCAGUCAGAGCCCGUGGCUGAUCCCUGCAGUCAGAGCCCGCAAGGGAAGCCCAGAGCAGGAGCUGCUGCAGCCAGAGUCACUGAAUGGCUGGAGUCAGGAUGGCUGAGCUGGAAAGGGGACUAAACCAGCACCCUUUCCAUGCUGUGAUAAACAAGAAGUCGGUGUCUUGCCUCAUUUCUACCCUCUAACAAGAGGGCUGCUGCAGCAGUAGUAGUUGCCACAAGCAGGAGCAAAAUAAUUGUUUCUAAGACUGUAGUUGC